RNAcentral lists this ribosomal RNA (1777 nucleotides) under Fritillaria borealis typica. RNAcentral's name for it is "SSU rRNA". It matches the Rfam family "Eukaryotic small subunit ribosomal RNA". The record is from RNAcentral. Lineage: Eukaryota; Metazoa; Chordata; Appendicularia; Copelata; Fritillariidae.
AGUCAUAUGCUUGUCUCAAAGAUUAAGCCAUGCAUGUGUAAGUUCACACUGAUUAACAGUAAAACUGCGGACGGCUCAUUACAACAGUACUAACCUAUUUGGAUGUUCAACGCUAAAAGGAUAACUGCCGCAAUUCGGGAGCUAAUACUUGCUAAAAGCGUCGCAAGACGUGUUUUUCCUUUCCUUAAAUCGAUCACCUAUGGUGUCUUCUGAGGAGUCGAGGGAACUUAACGGACCGCAUUCUUCGGAGGCGGUCGUCCAUUCGGAGUACUGACUUAUCAAAUGUCGAUGGUUCGGUAUUGGCGAACCAUGUUGGUAACGAGUAACGGGGAAUCAGGGUUCGAUUCCGGAGAGGCAGCCUGAGAAACGGCUGGCACAUCUAAGGAAGGCAGCAGGCGCGUAAAUUACCCAUUGCAGACUCUGCGAGGUAGUGACAAGAAAUAACGAGGCGUUGAUCCUAGUGAUCGUCGCUGUCGGAAUGAGAGCAGUUUAAAAUGCUCAUCGAGUAUCAAUUGAAGGGAAAGUCUGGUGCCAGCAGCCGCGGUAAUUCCAGCUUCAAUAGCGUAUACUUAAGUUGUUGUGGUUGAAGAGCUCGUAGUCGUAACUCUGGAUUAUCAACUUGUAGUGGGCGUCGCUUCGGUGGUGCUCACUUUAGGAGUUUGGUAUCCUCAUUUUGACGUUUGGGUGCGGGUGUCAUUAACUUGACGUCCGUAAACUGCGUCGAUUUUACCUUGAAUAAAUCGGAGUGCUCAAAGCAGGCUCUAAUGCUUGAACGAUUGUGCAUGGGAUAAUGGAACAGGGCGUCUCCGCCCUUACAUUGGUUUAAGUGGAGACGUAAUGAUAGAUAGGAACGGACGGCGUGAUUCGUACGAGAGGGUGAAAGGUGAAAUUUUUAGAUCCUUCUCAGACGAGCGGAUGCGAAGGCGUUUCACGAGAACGUUUUCAUUGAUCAAGAGCGAAAGAAGCAGGUUCGAAAACGAUUAGAUACCGUUGUAGUUGCUUCCGUAAACGAUUUAGACUUGCGAUAGGCAAGGGUUGUUAAUAACCUUGUCUGCAGCUUCCGGGAAACCAAAGUGUUUGUAGCCCAGGGGGAGUAUGGUUGCAAAGCUGAAACUUAAAGAAAUUGACGGAAGGGCACCACCAGGCGUGGAGCCUGCGGCUUAAUUUGACUCAACACGGGACAACUUGCCCGGCCCGGACACAGGAAUGAUUGACAGAUUGAGAGCUCUUUCUUGAUUCUGUGGGUGGUGGUGCAUGGCCGUUCUUAGUCGGUGGAGUGAUUUGUCUGGUUAAUUCCGAUAACGGACGAGACUCUGACAUGCUAACUAGUUUCGCUUGCUACCUUUUAGGUCAGGUGGGAACUUCUUAGAUGGAUUGGCGCCUUUUUGAAUGCGCAUGAAAUAGAGCUAUAACAGGUCUGUGAUGCCCUUAGAUGUUCGGGACCGCACGCGCGCUACAAUGAAUUGGUCAAUAGGAUUUAGCUGAGGCGAAAGCUUGUCGCAAGACAUUUCGGCGAAUCGAACAAACCAGUUCAUGCUUGGGAUAGUUGCUUGUAAUUCUUCAACUUGAACGAGGAAUGCCUAGUAAUGCUGGGUCAUCAACCCAGCGUGAUUACGUCCCUGCCCUUUGUACACACCGCCCGUCGCUAGUACCGACUAGUUGGUUUAGUGAGUCGCUUGGAUUUAUAGGUUGGAAGGUCGCAAGGCCGGAAAAUCAGUGAAGAAGAAUGGCAAACUUGGUCAACCGGAGGAACUAAAAGUCGUAACAAGGUCUCCGU